Molecule: ribosomal RNA, 408 nt
Filed under: uncultured bacterium
Lineage: Bacteria
Description: partial 16S ribosomal RNA
Rfam family: Bacterial small subunit ribosomal RNA
Source: RNAcentral
AGUGAACGCUGGCGGCGUGCCUAAUACAUGCAAGUCGAACGAAGUGGAGCACGGGUGAGUAAUAUAUAGUUAAUCUGCCCUACACAGAGGAACAACAGUUGGCAACGACUGCUAAUACCUCCUAGUGUAGGAUGAGACUAUAUCGUAUCAGCUAGUUGGUAAGGUAAUGGCGUACCAAGGUGAUGACGCGUAACUGGUCUGAGAGGAUGAUCAGUCACAUUGGAAGGUCGACACGGGUGAGACUCAUACGAGAAGCAGAAGUAAGGAGUAUUGCACAAUGGGGGAAUCCCUGACGCGGCAACGGCGCGUGAAGGAUGACACUUUUCGGGGCGUAAACUCCUUUUAUCAGGAAAGCGGUACCUGAUGAAUAAGCACAGGCUAACUCCGUGCCAGCAGCCGCGGUAAUAC